This is a long non-coding RNA of Neopsephotus bourkii (Bourke's parrot), 940 nucleotides long. RefSeq lists it as uncharacterized. Lineage: Eukaryota; Metazoa; Chordata; Aves; Psittaciformes; Psittacidae. The record is from RefSeq and is a predicted model, not a curated record. The transcript is spliced from 2 exons.
GUUCAUUAAAAAACAGCAGGUGGACUUGUGUGGACUAUUGGGCAAUUUCACUUACUGUCCAAAGCUGAAGGCUUGUUGAUGUCUAUUAUGUGCAUGCAACAUUUAUAGCUCAACCCUUUCUGAGUUACUUUUCCACACAUUUUAAAGGUCAGAAACAGAUUCAUCUGUAUCACACUGCUUUAAAUGUAGUUGGACUUUGUUCAAACAUUCAAAAAAUCAUCUCUGAGCUGCAACUAAUCAUAGAAGACUUAAUUCCUCAAGGAAAUUGUUCUGGGAAAGUUAUAAGCAGACAUAACAGGAAUUUAUAAUGGAAGUUGGCCUGCAACCUCAGGCUCAUCUCAAAAAUAUUUACACAUCUGAGUAUCUCAUUAAAGACAUAUAUAAAGCCUCAGUGCUGCACCAAGCAUCAGGACAGAUUGUGGGCAGCUUUGUGAUGCUUUCCUGAAAUUUGUGAGAGUUACACAAAGGCACCUUCCCACAGGGAACUCACGUUCAUGUAGCAUGGUUUUCAAGCUGUUCUGAUUAUCAGUUUUAAAAAGCAACAUAGUCUAGCUCUCAGAAAAGGCAGAAUCUUAUUUAAUUACAUGUCAAUCUUUUCAUAGUGUCUGUAUGCAGGCAGUGUCCUGGAGCCAUGGAAGGAGCAAGAGUUGCAAGUCUAUAUUUCAGGUACCUGGAGAUCUGAGCUGAAUGUCUGCAUUCCAUACAUAAAAGGAAUUAAGCUGCAAAAGGCGUGAUUUUCUCAAAUCCACCCUGUGCCCACACCAAGUGAGAAGUAGGUAAGCUAGGUUAACAGGGAGAGGCAAAAUGGGAAAGUGAAAUUCAGGUAUAGGUACCAAAUGCUCCCACUGUGUGUGACCUUUAACCCUCACCCUUUUUACAAAAUGGAGCUAGAUAAACAGCUUUUUUAUUACCUCAGUGAUUAAACACCACACACCAAACA